RNAcentral lists this ribosomal RNA (253 nucleotides) under uncultured bacterium. RNAcentral's name for it is "partial 16S ribosomal RNA". It matches the Rfam family "Bacterial small subunit ribosomal RNA", at positions 524 to 776 of the family's 1533-position model. The record is from RNAcentral.
UACGUAGGUGGCAAGCGUUGUCCGGAAUUAUUGGGCGUAAAGGGCUCGCAGGCGGUUUUUUAAGUCUGAUGUGAAAUCUUGUGGCUUAACCACAAGCGGUCAUUGGAAACUGAAAGACUUGAGUACAGAAGAGGAGAGUGGAAUUCCACGUGUAGCGGUGAAAUGCGUAGAGAUGUGGAGGAACACCAGUGGCGAAGGCGACUCUCUGGUCUGUAACUGACGCUGAGGAGCGAAAGCGUGGGGAGCGAACAGG